This 1138-nucleotide small RNA is filed under the name Pongo abelii (Sumatran orangutan). Its description in RNAcentral is "retained intron". Lineage: Eukaryota; Metazoa; Chordata; Mammalia; Primates; Hominidae. The record is from RNAcentral.
CUCUAGUAACUGUCCUCUCUCUAGUCUAAGUUAGGCGCUGCUCCUCUGAUGUAAUUCCACAGCACCCCUGUGGUCUUUACCAUGGAGUGCUGGCACUGUGUUGUCAUUCACAGUUUGACUUUUUGUCUUCCUCAGUAGACCACAGUCUCCUGAGGGCCACACAUUUGCUUUUUGCUUUGAUUUCUGCAGCCCCAUCAUGUAGCACAGUACCUGGCACAUAGUGGGUCCUUUAAUACAUUUGUAUUGAAAUGAAUGAAUGAUUGAAUGAACUCCAAAAAUGCCGGGCUUUUUGUUCUUUUUUGUUUUGGUGUUUUGCAGGGAUGGCCAGUCAGGAAAGAUAACCGUGGAUGACUAUGGAGCCAGAACAGGCAAAUCCCCAGGCAUGAUGCGGCAGCUUAACAUCAAUGGAGCUCUGUAUGUGGGUGGAAUGAAGGAAAUUGCUCUGCACACUAACAGGCAAUAUAUGAGAGGGCUUGUGGGCUGUAUCUCUCACUUCACCCUGUCCACCGAUUACCACAUUUCCCUCGUAGAAGAUGCCGUGGAUGGGAAAAACAUCAACACUUGUGGAGCCAAGUAACACCAGCUGGCCUUGCCCAAGGGACAGAGCCUUCUAUUCUGAGAAUCCCAGGGGCCCUCAGACCCUGCCUGAUGCUAUAUGCAGAGGCCCAGGGACCAGGUGUGUUUCUUCUCACCAAGGAGAAAGUACACACUGAUGAGAAACUAAGAACCAAAACAGGCAUCCCUGGGUGGCCUUUCCUGCUGACACUCCACGAGCUGACCCAGCAGAAUUCUCUGUGUAGGAAGCAUCGGACUUUGUCCAUUGAAUAUGUAGCGGCUGCCAGAGAUCACACAUCAAUGCAAAUUCCAGAGCCUGUCUGCUAUAGCUCAAUGACUGUGUUGUGAUUCAUAGUACAUUAAAAAGAGAGAGAGAGAGAAAGAAACCCGCAGGGCAGUAUUAAAAUACUCCUCUCCUUCCCUGACUCAUGGCACUCUUCCUGACAGCAGAAUGACUGUGCGACCUUGAACUUCACAUUUCCCACCUUGGCCCGUGGGUUGUUCGGAUUAACCCCUUCCACUCCUUACUGGCUGGUUCACUGUUCUGACUAGUCCAUGAAAAUAAAGAUGGAAGGAGAACAAA